UUUUAAAGCUUUUUACAAUAGUUUUACAAGAUUUACAAUUGUUUUUUAAGCAUAAGUAAUUGACAUUGAAUGAUUUACAAGGGAUUUUAAAAGAUUAUAAAAGAGUAAAACAUGAUUUAUAAUCGUUUUAAAGCUUAAAGCAUAAGUAAGUGGCAUAGAAUGAUUUACAAGGGAUUUAAAAAGGGUUAGCAUGGUUUACAAUCGUUUUUUAGCAUAAGUAAGUGGCAUUGAAUGAUUUACAAGGGAUUUUAAAAGCUUAUAAAAUGGUAAAAUAUGAUUUACAAUCGUUUUUAAAGCAUAAGUAAGUGACAUAGAAUGAUUUACAAGGAUUUUUAAAAAGGGUUAGCAUGGUUUACAAUCUUUUUUUAAGUAUAAGUAAGUGGUAUUGGAAUGAUUUACAGGGGAUUUUAAAAGCUUAUAAAAGGGUAAAACAUCAUUUACAAUCGUUUUUAAAGCAUAAGUAAGUGGCAUAUAUAGAAUGAUUUACAAAGGAUUUUAAAAGUGUUUGUAUGGUUUACAAUCGUUUUAAAACAUAAGUAAGUGGCAUUGAAUGAUUUACAAGGGAAUUUAAAAGGGGUUAACAUGAUUUACAAUCGUUUUUAAAAAAGGUUUGCAUGGUUUACAAUCGUUUUUAAAAGAUAAGUAAGUGGUAUAUAAUGAUUUACAAGGAUUUUAAAAGCUUAUAAAACGGUAAAACAUGAUUUACAAGAGUUUUUAAAAAGUUUUAAAACUCUUAUAAAGUCUUUACAAACAUUUUUUAACUCUUAGAAAAAGAAUUGUAAGUAUUUAAAACAUUUACAACUCUUUUUGAACCAUUUUAAAACUCUUGUGAACCUUUACAAAAGGUUUUAAAAAGAUUUACAAGAGUUUUUAAAGGGUUUUCUUAUAAUUUUUUUUAAAAUCUUUUAAAAACUCUUGUACAUCUUUUAAAACCCUUUAAAAAUCCCUUUAAAAUAUUUUAAAACACUUUUAAACCCUUUAAAAAUCUUUAAAAAACUCUUGUAAGUCUUUUAAAGCCUUUUAAAAUCCCUUAUAAAUCUUUUUAAACCCUUUUAAAAUCUCUUGUAAAUCUUUUAAACCCUUUUAAAAUCUCUUAAAUAUUUUAAAACCCUUUUAAAAUCCCUUGUAAAUCUAUUUCCCGCCAAAAAAAAAAUUUUACGGGAAAAAUAUUUUCAAUUUUUUUUUUUUGGCGGGAAAAUUUUUUCCGAAAUUUUUUGGCCGGAAAAAUGUUUUU
RNAcentral lists this small RNA (1234 nucleotides) under Arabidopsis thaliana (thale cress). Its description in RNAcentral is "ATSL150960". The record is from RNAcentral. Lineage: Eukaryota; Viridiplantae; Streptophyta; Magnoliopsida; Brassicales; Brassicaceae.